This 120-nucleotide ribosomal RNA is filed under the name Rosa chinensis. The record is from RNAcentral. Lineage: Eukaryota; Viridiplantae; Streptophyta; Magnoliopsida; Rosales; Rosaceae.
ACGGGUGAUCAUACCAGCAAUAAUGCACCGGAUCCCAUCAGAACUCCGAAGUUAAGCUUGCUUGGGCGAGAGCAGUACUAGGAUGGGUGACCUCCUGGGAAGUCUCGUGUUGCACCCCUC